GGCUAGAGUUUGAUCAUGGCUCAGGACGAACGCUGGCGGCGUGCUUAACACAUGCAAGUCGAACGGACCCCGGCAACGGGGUUAGUGGCGGACGGGUGAGUAACACGUGAGCAACCUGCCCUGUACAACGGGAUAACACAGAGAAAUUUGUGCUAAUACGGUAUAAGACCACACGGAGGCAUCUCUGAGGGGUAAAAGCUGAGGCGGUACAGGAGGGGCUCGCGGCCCAUUAGAUAGUUGGUGAGGUAACGGCCCACCAAGUCGACGAUGGGUAGCCGACCUGAGAGGGUGAUCGGCCACAUUGGAACUGAGAUACGGUCCAAACUCCUACGGGAGGCAGCAGUGGGGAAUAUUGGGCAAUGGAGGCAACUCUGACCCAGCAACGCCGCGUGAAUGAAGAAGGCCUUCGGGUUGUAAAGUUCUUUAAUGGGGAACGAAGAAAGUGACGGUACCCCAAGAAUAAGCCACGGCUAACUACGUGCCAGCAGCCGCGGUAAUACGUAGGUGGCAAGCGUUGUCCGGAAUGACUGGGCGUAAAGGGAGCGUAGGCGGCGCAACAAGUUAGGAGUGAAAUCCCGGGGCUUAACUCCGGAACUGCUUUUAAAACUGUUGUGCUUGAGUGAUGGAGAGGAAAGCG
This 637-nucleotide ribosomal RNA is filed under the name uncultured organism. Its description in RNAcentral is "bacterial SSU rRNA". It matches the Rfam family "Bacterial small subunit ribosomal RNA", at positions 1 to 663 of the family's 1533-position model. The record is from RNAcentral.